GACGAAAGUCUGAUGGAGCAACGCCGCGUGGGUGAAGAAGGUUUUCGGCUCGUAAAGCUCUGGUGUUCGAGAAGAACGAACGAGAGAGUAACUGUUCACUUUUCGACCGUAACCAACCAGAAAGUCACGGCUACCUACGUGCCACGAGCCGGGGUAAUGCUUAUGUGGCAAGCGUUGUCCGGAUUUAUUGGGCGUAAAGGGAGCGCAGGCGGUCAGUUACGUCUGAUGUGAAAGCCUUCGG
This 241-nucleotide ribosomal RNA is filed under the name uncultured bacterium. RNAcentral describes it as "partial 16S ribosomal RNA". It matches the Rfam family "Bacterial small subunit ribosomal RNA", at positions 374 to 607 of the family's 1533-position model. The record is from RNAcentral.